UGAGGAAUAUUGGUCAAUGGGCGGGAGCCUGAACCAGCCAAGCCGCGUGAGGGAGGAAGGCCCUAUGGGUCGUAAACCUCUUUUGUCAGGGAACAAAAGCGAGUAUGUAUACUAGUCUGAGUGUACCUGAAGAAAAAGCAUCGGCUAACUCCGUGCCAGCAGCCGCGGUAAUACGGAGGAUGCGAGCGUUAUCCGGAUUUAUUGGGUUUAAAGGGUGCGUAGGCGGCGAUGCAAGUCAGCGGUAAAAGCCCGGGGCUCAACCCCGGGCGAGCGUUGAAACUGCAGUGCUAGAGAAGGCGAGAGGUACGCGGAAUGCGCAGUGUAGCGGUGAAAUGCUUAGAUAUUGCGCAGAACUCCGAUUGCGAAGGCAGCGUACUGGCGCCUGACUGACGCUGAGGCACGAAAGCGUGGGGAUCGAACAGGAUUAGAUACC
Molecule: ribosomal RNA, 433 nt
Filed under: uncultured bacterium
Lineage: Bacteria
Description: bacterial SSU rRNA
Rfam family: Bacterial small subunit ribosomal RNA
Source: RNAcentral